UUAAGUUCAGCGGGUAGUCUUGCCUGAUUUGAGGCCAAUAGAUAGAUAUUGGGCAACCCUUGCGGGCUAGCUCAGAGAAUGCUUAGCACUCGGGCUAGCCUACACAGGCCACUAUCUGGCUACGUUUAGACCGAGUCCGGGGACAACAGUCAAAUCGCAUUGCUGCAUUGAUGUAUGCGGCACUCAAACAGACAUGCCUC
Molecule: unclassified non-coding RNA, 200 nt
Filed under: Agaricales sp.
Lineage: Eukaryota; Fungi; Basidiomycota; Agaricomycetes; Agaricales
Description: partial internal transcribed spacer 2
Source: RNAcentral